UACGGAGGGUGCGAGCGUUAUCCGGAAUCACUGGGUUUAAAGGGUGCGUAGGCGGCGUGGUAAGUCAGGGGUGAAAGCUUCCCGCUCAACGGGAGAGGUGCCCUUGAUACUGCCAGGCUUGAAUUGGGCCGAGGCCGGCGGAACGCGGCAUGUAGCGGUGAAAUGCUUAGAUAUGCCGCAGAACACCGAUUGCGAAGGCAGCCGGCCAGGCCUUGAUUGACGCUGAGGCACGAAAGCGUGGGGAGCGAACAGG
This 253-nucleotide ribosomal RNA is filed under the name uncultured bacterium. RNAcentral describes it as "partial 16S ribosomal RNA". It matches the Rfam family "Bacterial small subunit ribosomal RNA", at positions 524 to 776 of the family's 1533-position model. The record is from RNAcentral.